UACAGAGGUCUCAAGCGUUGUUCGGAUUCAUUGGACGUAAAGGGUGCGUAGGCGGCGCGGUAAGUCGGAUGUGAAAUCUCGGAGCUUAACUUCGAAACUGCAUUCGAUACUGCCGUGCUUGAGGACUGGAGAGGAGACUGGAAUUUACGGUGUAGCGGUGAAAUGCGUAGAUAUCGUAAGGAAGACCAGUGGCGAAGGCGGGUCUCUGGACAGUUCCUGACGCUGAGGCACGAAGGUCAGGGGAGCAAACGGG
RNAcentral lists this ribosomal RNA (253 nucleotides) under uncultured bacterium. Its description in RNAcentral is "partial 16S ribosomal RNA". It matches the Rfam family "Bacterial small subunit ribosomal RNA", at positions 524 to 776 of the family's 1533-position model. The record is from RNAcentral.